AGUGAACGCUGGCGGUAGGCCUAACACAUGUAAGUCGAACGGCAGCACAGUAAGAGCCUGCUCUUACGGGUGGCGAGUGGCGGACGGGUGAGGAAUACAUCGGAAUCUACUUUUUCGUGGGGGAUAACGUAGGGAAACUUACGCUAAUACCGCAUACGACCUACGGGUGAAAGCAGGGGAUCUUCGGACCUUGCGCGAUUGAAUGAGCCGAUGUCGGAUUAGCUAGUUGGCGGGGUAAAGGCCCACCAAGGCGACGAUCCGUAGCUGGUCUAAGAGGAUGAUCAGCCACACUGGAACUGAGACACGGUCCAGACUCCUACGGGAGGCAGCAGUGGGGAAUAUUGGACAAUGGGCGCAAGCCUGAUCCAGCCAUACCGCGUGGGUGAAGAAGGCCUUCGGGUUGUAAAGCCCUUUUGUUGGGAAAGAAAAGCAGCAGGUUAAUACCCCGCUGUUCUGACGGUACCCAAAGAAUAAGCACCGGCUAACUUCGUG
RNAcentral lists this ribosomal RNA (492 nucleotides) under uncultured bacterium. Its description in RNAcentral is "partial 16S ribosomal RNA". It matches the Rfam family "Bacterial small subunit ribosomal RNA", at positions 29 to 507 of the family's 1533-position model. The record is from RNAcentral.